AACGUUUAAGCUUAAUGUAGCCAGCCAGUUGUAACCAUAUCUCUUUCAAAAAUGUUUUAUGCACGCCACGAGGUUCGAAUAGAUUUUGUAAGCACGAGUUUGCCCAUUUAACCUAAAGGUUUGCACCUUUUCAAGCUGGAUAUCGUACUGCGGCUGUCGUCACUAAAUAGCAAACUAUGCUCGGCGUUCAUUGUAUGCCAAUAUACAGACAGAACAGGGGGACACACGAAUAUCAAUGUAAAGCGAGACGGGUCCUGAACUAGGAGCAAUCUCGACAGUGCAUCGCCCAACGGAUGACAGUCUAUAACCCAGGGCGUGUGUGUACACGCUUCCACGGACAGAGAGAGAAUUAUUAUCCGGCCACUCUACUCCGCUACCUACCGUGUUUCUUGAUUACUAUCGGCGCAGCUGCGCCCACAAUUUGUGUUUCCCGUCAACUGUGCGUAAGAGAGCCGUCCGUCAACGUCGUACCCAUAACGAUGCCAGCACCCUCCGCUAAGACGCCGCUGAUAGUUUGAUAUAGACACAUAUUCAUCAUGACCUCUGCUGUGUGCGGAUUCCUUUGCAUAUGAAUUUAUUCUUCUAAAGCGGCACUUCCUUCUUACGAAUAAAUCUUCUAGUUUUUUUUCCAUCAAAUCAUUCACAUGUAAAGCGAGCUAAGGUUUUAUGACUCUUUUUUCAUCGACCAAUUGAUAAUUUAUUUAAAUCCUACUAGCAGAUCGUUAAACUGUUAUAUAAAAGAUGUGGCGUAAAAUAUUCAUUACAGAUAGAACGUUAUAUAAACUAUGCAUACGUAUGUCGUUUUAUGUUCUACUUGUUAUUUCUUCAAUUCUUCCGUUCUUUAAUUCUUUAGUACUAUGUUUUACACGUCAUUAUGUAUGAAUAUUCAGACGAAAUUGUUUAGAAUAAUUACAUACGUCUUAUAAUUUUAACCUAUACUUAUAGAUACAUAUAUCUAUCUGUAUGUUCAAAAUAAUGUAUUGCGUGUCAUAGAUAUCAUCAAAAAGAGAAAAUCUAUUGUAAAUUUGAAGGCUGAUGAUUUUUAAAAUAGUGUAUAUAUACAUAUCCAUAUCUCCUUCCGUUAUGAACUUUCGAAUUCGACAGAGCAAUACAGGCAACUAUCUAAAAGUGAAUGCUCAGAACUGACCGACAUUUUUGGUAACAUUAGAAAAUUGCGACCUUGUGUUCCAACAACGCCAUACCAGUGAUAACAUUAUGAAAAACGUGUUUAUGUGACCCUGUGGUGUACAUCGAAUGACGCUAAUGCCGUCGACAUGUCGAAUUUGCAAGGUCAUACUCC
This 1300-nucleotide unclassified non-coding RNA is filed under the name Bombus terrestris (buff-tailed bumblebee). RNAcentral's name for it is "misc RNA ENSBTSG00005023614.1". The record is from RNAcentral. Lineage: Eukaryota; Metazoa; Arthropoda; Insecta; Hymenoptera; Apidae.